RNAcentral lists this ribosomal RNA (499 nucleotides) under uncultured bacterium. RNAcentral's name for it is "partial 16S ribosomal RNA". It matches the Rfam family "Bacterial small subunit ribosomal RNA", at positions 28 to 507 of the family's 1533-position model. The record is from RNAcentral.
GACGAACGCUGGCGGCGUGCCUAAUACAUGCAAGUCGAGCGGACCGAACAGGAGCUUGCUCUUGUUCGGUUAGCGGCGGACGGGUGAGUAACACGUGGGUACCCUGCCGGUAGGACCGGGAUACCUCCGGGAACCCGGAGCUAAUACCGGUUAACACGGAGGACGGCAGGGAUUUUGGUUGAAAGCGGGCUCCGGCUGCCCUUUAGGGGAGGGCCCGCGGGGCAUUGGCGAGUUGGGGCGGUAACGGCAUCCCAAGGCGAUGUUGCGUAGCCGGCCUUCAGGGGUGACCGGCCACCCUGGGACCGGGACACGGCCCAGACCCCUACGGGAGGCAGCAGUAGGGAAUCUUCCGCAAUGGACGAAAGGCUGACGGAGCGACGCCGCGUGAGCGAAGAAGGUCCUCGGAUCGUAAAGCUCUGUUGUUAGGGAAGAAGAAGCGUCGUUCGAACAGGGCGGCGCGGUGACGGUACCUAACGAGAAAGCCCCGGCUAACUACGUG